Molecule: long non-coding RNA, 2175 nt
Organism: Apis dorsata (giant honeybee)
Lineage: Eukaryota; Metazoa; Arthropoda; Insecta; Hymenoptera; Apidae
Exons: 2
Source: RefSeq, a predicted model, not a curated record
AAUGAUUGUUCGUAAUCAUAGUUAUAAUUUUCUAUAAUAUAUAAUAUUAUAUUGUAGAAAAUUUUUUAUAAUAUUCACAAUAUUUUUUGUCAUUAAAAAAAUAAAGUAUUUUAAGUUUGUUUCAGGUGGGAUCGAUAUAAGAAGAUUCAUACCUCACAUAAUAUUUAAUUCCUAUUUCUUCUUUGCAUUUAGAUUUUAUGAUAAAACCAUAAAAUUUUAAUGCAAGAAAGAAUUUGUUAGAUAGGAUUUCUAGGAAGAAGCCUCAAUAUAUGAAGAAAAACAUUAUUUAAUUUUUAUCAAUGUACUGCUCUUUUAAUUUUUGUUUGUUUCAGGACCAGUGGACAAAAGUACAUAGGAUAUUUUCGAACGUAUUUAUAUUUGUUGAUGAUGUUCCCUUUCUUCUCGUUUAUUAUGCAGAUAUACAUGUACAUAAAUAUGUUAGUUUAGUUUUUCCUUGAAUAUUCUUAAUUAUUCCUUGAAUAUCGAUUUCCCUAAAUUUCCUUUUGUUGAUGACCAAAGAUCGAUCCUUUUGCAAGCAUACAUUGAAAGGAAUAUAUAUCGAAAUUAAAUUUUUUUAAACCCAAAAAAGGACAAGAUCGUGGUUAAAAGAGUGGAUUUUCUGCGGCCAAUUCUCGCAUUUAAAUCGGCUAUUGAUGAGAUAGCGAUAUUACCAUCGGCCACGAUAAUAAAAAAAUAAAAACUCGUCGAGUAAAGAUGUAUCGUGCGAAGAUUGAAGAAUGAUGAGUCACUAUGUGCUAGCUAGAAAGUACGUAUAAGAAAAAGCGAGCAGAAGGUCGUGUGGUACCUCUGUCAUUGACCUUUUUCUCUACCCUCUCGAUAGGUUCGUCGCUCGUUCUUCCGUGUUAUACGAACGCUAUUUCUAGUUAUAAAAUAUCUAUAACGUCGAACUGCAUUAGUCAGAAGAACAAAAUUGUCGUAAAUGCAAUACGAUGGCAUAUUAUGAUCGUCGAGGAAGAGAUGUUAAUACAUUUCAAUAUUUAUUUUAUUGGUUAUUCUUCGAUUAGAAUGGCGUUUGAAUUUGUCAAAUUGAAAUUAAACGACGAAGAGUAAUGGUUCGCAUUAUCGACAAGAGAAUAUUCUUUAACAAAAUCGUGUGGACAAAAAGGAAAACCGAUCAACGAGGAUUAUUGGCAAGGAAAACACUUAACGGUUUAAGCAGCCCUUCUUAUCAAGUAUCGUUCCGAAUCAUUUCAAGCAUUUCGUAUCGCCCUUUGAGAGGAAAAAAAAUAUUGUAAUUCUCUCAUAGUAAAAUGAAUAUUUGACCUACUACUUGUAAACGAUCUUGUUACUUCGUUACCAAUUUGAAACAUCCCUCACGUUGUUCUUUUUCCAAGCCUCCUUAAACUGUCGCUGUUAAUUUUCGCAAACGAAACGUUGGAGGAACUUAUUAUCGCGGUUUAAUUAAAUGAGCCAAUUUUAUUUCGUACAAUAUAUUCACCGUGAAAACUGUCUCAUUCCUUCUGGCGCGAUUUACAAUGGGCGUAAUUAAAUAAACAAUUAUCACGGGGGGCCAUUCUCCGCAGCGGUUUAUUAAUGUUUCAUGACUUCCGCAAGGAAAUGAGACACUUUCCGUGGGCAAACGCGAUGUAAAGUAAUUUCUUACUUCUGUUUUAUCGCCGCUUGGCCGAGAAAAUUCGCGUCACUUGUCUCGGUUCCCUUGAAUCGAUACGGUUCAAAAAAAAAAAAAAAAUGAAUAAGAAAAGAGACUCGCGUGUAAACUCCGAUUUGGCGUAAUUCGCAUGGGUUUUAUAAUAUAUUCGGCACGGUAACGUCACGCGAGAUCGUUCAAUGUUCGCUAAUCUUCAUAAUUUACGCGAAAAGUUGUUUGUUGCGCGGGAAGACAAUCCAAGGAACACGAUAUCAUCAUCGAAACGCAGCCUUUCCCCGUUUAUCUGGUAACGAGUAACUUUAUACUCGAACAAUUUUCAACUCGUUCCCUCGUUACUAAUGAUGCGAAUGUUUUUGCAGAACGAGAACGAAGGAAGAGACAAACAAGGGUAGGGGACAAAGAGAGAAACUCUUGCAUCGUAACAGCACAUUUCCCGGGUAUACGCGGGGUUGUUACUUAUUCUCGUAAUAUGCAGUUACCGCUGCGUGCUUUUCAACUCGAGUGAAACUUUGAUACCGCUUUCCUUGAAAAAAAAAAAAAAAAAA